UACGUAGGGUGCAAGCGUUGUCCGGAAUCAUUGGGCGUAAAGCGUGCGUAGGUGGCUCGGUAAGUCCGCUCUGAAAGUCACAGGCUCAACCUGUGAAAGCGGGUGGAUACUGCCGGGCUAGAGUCCGGAAGAGGCGAGUGGAAUUCCUGGUGUAGCGGUGGAAUGCGCAGAUAUCAGGAGGAACACCAACGGCGAAGGCAGCUCGCUGGGACGGUACUGACACUGAGGCGCGAAAGCCAGGGGAGCAAACGGG
Molecule: ribosomal RNA, 253 nt
Filed under: uncultured bacterium
Lineage: Bacteria
Description: partial 16S ribosomal RNA
Rfam family: Bacterial small subunit ribosomal RNA
Source: RNAcentral